RNAcentral lists this small RNA (514 nucleotides) under Camellia sinensis. RNAcentral describes it as "transcribed RNA". Lineage: Eukaryota; Viridiplantae; Streptophyta; Magnoliopsida; Ericales; Theaceae. The record is from RNAcentral.
UAGACAGAUCUUCGUUUGAGUCUUGUACAGUGUUGAAGACAUCUCUCCUCUGGCGAUUGUCAAAGCUCUUCCUAUCAGCUUCCAACGGCCAUUUCUGAAUGUACUUGUAUAGCCUUGUCGGUCCAGGGCGUUUUCAGAGAUAAGAUUGAGGCGCAAAUCUGGAACAUUCCUCACAUAUUUGAGAACCAGCUUGUGUUCGACAUUAGUCUAAAUACUAAUGUCUCCAAUACCCAUAAUCUUCGAAUAACUAGAAUUCCUUAUUCAAACAAUGCCAAAAUCUCCAGUGUUGUACGAGCUGAAAAGUUCUCUGUGGGAAGUGGCGUGAUAAGAUGCAGCUGUGUCUAUCACCCACUCUGUAUAGCUGUGGUCAGCCACGUAAAGGCAAUCCUCCUUUUCACCAGCUACGAGAAGUAUUUCAUCAGUUGUUGUGACUGUCGUGUUCUCAUCUCCCUUUGACUUACUGCUUUGGCCUUUAUCUUUCCUGCUUGGGCCAUUCCUCUUUAUGUGACCCUCC